RNAcentral lists this ribosomal RNA (858 nucleotides) under uncultured bacterium. Its description in RNAcentral is "bacterial SSU rRNA". It matches the Rfam family "Bacterial small subunit ribosomal RNA", at positions 21 to 894 of the family's 1533-position model. The record is from RNAcentral.
GGCUCAGGACGAACGCUGGCGGCGCGCCUAACACAUGCAAGUCGAGCGAGAACCGGGGGCUUGCCCUCGGGGACAGCGGCGAACGGGUGCGUAACACGUGAGCAACCUGCCCCAAAGACCGGGACAACCCGAGGAAACUCGGACUAAUAUCGGAUGCCCUCACCGGGUCGCAUGGUCUGGUGAGGAAAUGGAUUCCGCUUUGGGAUGGGCUCGCGGUCUAUCAGCUUGUUGGUGGGGUAACGGCCUACCAAGGCAACGACGGAUAGCUGGUCUGAGAGGACGAUCAGCCACACUGGGACUGAGACACGGCCCAGACUCCUACGGGAGGCAGCAGUGGGAAUCUUGCGCAAUGGGGGAAACCCUGACGCAGCGACGCCGCGUGCGGGAUGAAGGCCUUCGGGUUGUAAACCGCUUUCAGCAGGGACGAAAUUGACGGUACCUGCAGAAGAAGGCCCGGCCAACUACGUGCCAGCAGCCGCGGUAAUACGUAGGGGCCUAGCGUUGUCCGGAAUUAUUGGGCGUAAAGAGCUCGUAGGUGGUUCGGCAAGUCGGAUGUGAAAUCUCCACGCUUAACGUGGAGGGGCCAUUCGAAACUGCUGUGACUUGAGUCCGGUAGGGGAGUGUGGAAUUCCCGGUGUAGCGGUGAAAUGCGCAGAUAUCGGGAGGAACACCAGUAGCGAAGGCGGCACUCUGGGCCGGUACUGACACUGAGGAGCGAAAGCGUGGGGAGCGAACAGGAUUAGAUACCCUGGUAGUCCACGCCGUAAACGUUGGGCACUAGGUGUGGGACUCUAUCGACGGGUUCCGUGCCGUAGCUAACGCAUUAAGUGCCCCGCCUGGGGAGUACGGCCGCAAGGC